RNAcentral lists this ribosomal RNA (219 nucleotides) under uncultured Candidatus Accumulibacter sp. RNAcentral's name for it is "partial 16S ribosomal RNA". It matches the Rfam family "Bacterial small subunit ribosomal RNA", at positions 641 to 858 of the family's 1533-position model. The record is from RNAcentral. Lineage: Bacteria; Pseudomonadati; Pseudomonadota; Betaproteobacteria.
CUGGAGUUUGGCAGAGGGGGGUAGAAUUCCACGUGUAGCAGUGAAAUGCGUAGAGAUGUGGAGGAAUACCGAUGGCGAAGGCAGCCCCCUGGGCUAUUUCUGACACUCAUGCACGAAAGCGUGGGGAGCAAACAGGAUUAGAUACCCCGGUAGUCCACGCCCUAAACGAUGUCAACUAGAUGUUGGAAGGGUUAAACCUUUUAGUGCCGUAGCUAACAA